GUGAAAUUGACAGUCAUCCGGGCCAACUGAAAGUGUCGAGCCAGUUUAUGAAACUGACUGCCAUAAGAGAUAUUUUAUUAUGUUUCGUUUGUGAGGAGCUGCUGCUGAAACUGAUCAGGUUAUCUGUCAUGGGCUUUUGCCAGAGGAUGAAAACGCUUACUUUGCUGCAUUUUGGAAAACCUGUAGAAAGAGAUGGAAUAAUUGCAUUACAAUCAGUCACAGCAGUGCAUCCAGAGUAAUGGCACUGGUUCUGGACCAGCAUGUAAGUGCCAUUACAACGAAGGCAUGACAGUGCCUCUACUUUCUUAGAAGUUUCCGCAGAUGUGGCAAGACAUCUGAAACUUUGACAAACUUCUAUAGAUGUACAUUGGAGAAUUUCCUCAUUGGUUGUAUCACGGCAUUGUAUGGAAACACCAAUGCCUAAGAACAGAAAAGCCUACAAAAAGUGGUGGAUGCGGUUCAGUCUAUUACAGAAAAAGCCCUCCCCAUCUACAAGGAGAAAGCAGUAUCCAUUAUCAAGCACCCUCAGCAUCCAGGCUAUGCUCUCUUCUUGCUGCUGCUACCGGGAAGGAGGCACAGGAGCUGCACCGCCAGGUUCAGGACAGUUCUUACCUUUCAAACAUCAGGCUCCUUCCUACACCUGCAUAGAUAGCUUCACCCCCCACAAUUCUGAAUUGAUUUCACAGGGGCUCACUUUCAAGGGCUCGACAACUCAUGUUUCACUAUUAUUCAUUUAGUUAUCUGUAUUGAUUUAUUUAUUCAUUUUAGUGUUUGCAUAUUGGUUGUUUGUCAUUGUGCGUAGUUUUUCAUUGAUUCUACAGUAUUUUUGUUCUAAUGUGAAUACCUGCAAGAAAAUGAAUCUCAGAGUGACACAUUUUUCUUUGAUAAUAAACGUGAAAUUUGAAUUUUAUUGAACUUUGAUUGUAAAUAAUUGGGAAUCCAAAACUUCUUCCAAAAUAUAAAAAAAGACCUGUUUGAAAGAUCUGUGAAUUGAAUUUCCACAGGUACAAUGAAAAAUGUACUUGCAGCAGCAUUACAGGCACAAAGUUCAAAAGAAAAACACAAAUUACACAAAAAUUGUACAAGGAACAACAUGAUUAGAACUAAAAAAAGAUGAUAUGAAUUUUUCCGGGAUACUUUGCUUUCUUUGCAUAUCCUAAAACAUUGCUGAUCGUGGGGUUAAUUAAGUUACUCAUCAUGUAAAGUAAGUGGUAGGAGAAUCAGAAGUAGUUGAUGUGGAAGAGAAAAGGGAAAGAAGUGGGAGAGUGAGGUUAAGGAAACUGUUUGGAAUAGACUAGAUGGAUCAAAUGGCCUCCUACACUAUAAGGAAAAAGAAACAUUUUGUCACACUAUUUGAAACAGAUGCUCAAAUCUGCUGAAUUUAAAUUCUGUUAAUUUGGAAUUGUAACAAUAAAAUAGUUCUAGUACUGAUGAUACUGCUAUAAAGCCCAUUUAGUUCACUAAUAUUCUGCCAUCCUUACAUAGUCAAUGCAUAAGGGUACAUCUCCAAUUAGAGUCUAAACAUGGAAAAAUAUUGAAGAGACAGGAUUGAAGGUUUUUCAUUGAUGCUGCAGAUAACCAGAUUGAUGAAUUAAUGGCAGAAACAGAAAUAAUUGGGUUUGGAAUAUAAGAAUUUAUUGAAAUAUGAUGGCAAAAUAGCCAAGUGUUGGGAACAAAAUGCCCAAUUUUUAUUAAGUAAUAGAUAAAGAAGAAAAUGAGAAUGGCUAGUCCUGAUAAGAAAAAAAAGUCAUGAAGACAUAUGAAUGAAAGGAUCAUAGCUCAGGAAAUCAAAUAGAAGAAUCAGUUUGGGUAGAGCUAAGAAAUAGCAAGUGACGGAAAAAACUAAUGGGAAUUGUCAAAAAGCCCCAAACAGAAGUGAAAGUAAGGAAUCAUGGACUUGGAUGUGCAUAAGAACAAGAGUAGGAAUAGGCCACUUAGGCUACAUCCACACUAGACCAGAUAAUUCUGAAAAUGCCGGUUUCGCGUAAAAACGACAGGCAUCCACACUAGGCGUUUUUAAAAAUACCUCUGUCCACAUUAAAACGGAUAUUUGGGCGAAUCUCACUGGGCAUGCACAGGACACACGGAAAACGAGCAAAGAGGAAACAGUAUACUUGGUGUGCGUUUGUCCAGUUACAGACUAGAAAAACUUAAAAGGAAAUUGCCAAACGAUAGACUUGCUGCAUGUUUGUUCAGUUACAGACUAGAAAAACUUAAAAGGAAAUUGCCAAACGAAAGACUUGGAGCGUGUUUGUCCAGAAACAUUUCCUACAGCCAUAGUCUCUUCACCGAUGAAAGGGACAACAGCUACAACUCAAUGCCAUAAGGCUCGUUACUGGGCAAAAGUGAAAUUUGCUGUUACCUCAUUUGUUUGCCUUUACUCUUGCCAUGUCUUUGUAUUAUUUUGCUGUAUUUAACAUGUGCAAUAAAACAAGUUACUGGGCAAAAGUGACAAUUGCAUCUAUUGAAUGUUUGCACAAGCAAUA
Molecule: long non-coding RNA, 2486 nt
Organism: Mobula hypostoma (lesser devil ray)
Lineage: Eukaryota; Metazoa; Chordata; Chondrichthyes; Myliobatiformes; Myliobatidae
Exons: 3
Source: RefSeq, a predicted model, not a curated record